Long non-coding RNA from Etheostoma spectabile (orangethroat darter), 169 nucleotides. RefSeq lists it as uncharacterized. The transcript has 3 exons. The record is from RefSeq and is a predicted model, not a curated record. NCBI's taxonomy places the organism in Eukaryota, Metazoa, Chordata, Actinopteri, Perciformes, Percidae.
AUUAGAACUAGCACUAUAGUGCAUAGUUUCCAUCGCACCAAUGAGGAAUUCUGAGUAACGACAACACCACUGUUGUUGCGUCCACAUAAUACAAGCCUUCCCUAAUUGCACACACGCCCUCACCCCUCCUCCAAGCAGUUGCUGGUAGCCAAGGAGGACACAGAGGAUU